GUGCCCACUUCCACAGCACAUAUACUAAAAUACAGGGAAGACUAGCAUGGCCCUUGUGUGAGGAUGACACAAAAUUGUGAAGUACUACAUAUUUUU
RNAcentral lists this small nuclear RNA (96 nucleotides) under Neotoma lepida (desert woodrat). Lineage: Eukaryota; Metazoa; Chordata; Mammalia; Rodentia; Cricetidae. The record is from RNAcentral.